RNAcentral lists this microRNA precursor (137 nucleotides) under Chlorocebus sabaeus (green monkey). RNAcentral's name for it is "miRNA (ENSCSAG00000023237.1)". Lineage: Eukaryota; Metazoa; Chordata; Mammalia; Primates; Cercopithecidae. The record is from RNAcentral.
CAACAGGAAUUUCUUUUCUCAAGGUUCUGGAGGCUGGAAGUCCAAGAUCAAGGUGCCUGCAGGUUUGGUUUCUCCUGAAGCCUCUCUCCUUGGCUUGCAGAUGGCCGUCUUCUCCCUGUGUCCUCACGUGGCCUUUU